GAUGAACGCUGGCGGCGUGCCUAAUACAUGCGAGUCGAGCGAACAGACGAGGAGCUUGCUCCUCUGACGUUAGCGGCGGACGGGUGAGUAACACGUGGAUAACCUACCUAUAAGACUGGGAUAACUUCGGGAAACCGGAGCUAAUACCGGAUAAUAUAUUGAACCGCAUGGUUCAAUAGUGAAAGACGGUUUUGCUGUCACUUAUAGAUGGAUCCGCGCCGCAUUAGCUAGUUGGUAAGGUAACGGCUUACCAAGGCAACGAUGCGUAGCCGACCUGAGAGGGUGAUCGGCCACACUGGAACUGAGACACGGUCCAGACUCCUACGGGAGGCAGCAGUAGGGAAUCUUCCGCAAUGGGCGAAAGCUUGACGGAGCAACGCCGCGUGAGUGAUGAAGGUCUUCGGAUCGUAAAACUCUGUUAUUAGGGAAGAACAAAUGUGUAAGUAACUAUGCACGUCUUGACGGUACCUAAUCAGAAAGCCACGGCUAACUUCGUG
Molecule: ribosomal RNA, 497 nt
Filed under: uncultured bacterium
Lineage: Bacteria
Description: partial 16S ribosomal RNA
Rfam family: Bacterial small subunit ribosomal RNA
Source: RNAcentral